RNAcentral lists this small nuclear RNA (24 nucleotides) under Arabidopsis thaliana (thale cress). RNAcentral describes it as "snRNA_10678". Lineage: Eukaryota; Viridiplantae; Streptophyta; Magnoliopsida; Brassicales; Brassicaceae. The record is from RNAcentral.
AUUUUUAAUGAUCAUUUUACACAU